This 329-nucleotide ribosomal RNA is filed under the name uncultured eukaryote. Its description in RNAcentral is "partial 18S ribosomal RNA". It matches the Rfam family "Eukaryotic small subunit ribosomal RNA", at positions 1470 to 1796 of the family's 1831-position model. The record is from RNAcentral.
CCCUUAGAUAUUCUGGGCCGCACGCGCGCUACACUGACGAUGGCAACGAGUUUUUCCUUCGCCGAAAGGUGUGGGUAAUCUUUUGAAACAUCGUCGUGCUGGGGAUAGAUCAUUGCAAUUUUUGAUCUUGAACGAGGAAUUCCUAGUAAGCGCGAGUCAUCAGCUCGCGUUGAUUACGUCCCUGCCCUUUGUACACACCGCCCGUCGCUACUACCGAUUGAAUGGUUUAGUGAGGACUCCUGAUUGGCGCCGCCGCCCCGGCAACGGAGCAGCGGACUGCCGAAAAGUUGUUCAAACUUGAUCAUUUAGAGGAAGUAAAAGUCGUAACA